RNAcentral lists this long non-coding RNA (358 nucleotides) under Linum usitatissimum (flax). RNAcentral's name for it is "long non-coding RNA (LUSI_LNC002583)". The record is from RNAcentral. Lineage: Eukaryota; Viridiplantae; Streptophyta; Magnoliopsida; Malpighiales; Linaceae.
ACAGCUACGGAUAUUUCAAUUUCUGGAGGCGGAAUCCUCAUGGGAGUCGAAUAGGGUUUCAAUUCGAGGUUGGUUGGGGUUUAAAUAGAAGGGAGUAUUGAUCUUGAGCUCUAUCGGACGACGGAAAUCGUCGCCGGAAAACUCGGAGUCCAUCGAGCUGGAUGCGGCGGAGUAAUGAUGAUGCCACCACCACGCCAGCGCCCUGUUACCAUUUAUGGUAAUGUGUCGUCUACUGAUUGGGUGCUUGUUGAGUCAGCGCCUCCACACCAAAGCUACGCCAUUUUGACUGAAUUGCAAGCUGGAGAAAUAAAAUGUAUACUGUGCUUAGUGGUAGGGAUCGAACUAGGGACCUUGAUUC